CCCUUAGAUGUUCUGGGCCGCACGCGCGCUGCACUGAUGCAUUCAACGAGUGUACCUUGGCCGAGAGGCCUGGGCAAUCUUUUGAACGUGCAUCGUGAUAGGGAUAGAUUAUUGCAAUUAUUAAUCUUGAACGAGGAAUUCCUAGUAAACGCAGUUCAUCAAACUGCAUUGAUUACGUCCCUGCCCUUUGUACACACCGCCCGUCGCACCUACCGAUUGGAUGGUCCGGUGAAGCCUCGGGAUUGUGGCGGUUGCCUUUAUUGGUGGCCGCCGCGAGAACUUGUCUAAACCUUAUCAUCUAGAGGAAGGUGAAGUCGUAACA
RNAcentral lists this ribosomal RNA (322 nucleotides) under uncultured eukaryote. Its description in RNAcentral is "partial 18S ribosomal RNA". It matches the Rfam family "Eukaryotic small subunit ribosomal RNA", at positions 1470 to 1796 of the family's 1831-position model. The record is from RNAcentral.